RNAcentral lists this ribosomal RNA (415 nucleotides) under uncultured bacterium. Its description in RNAcentral is "bacterial SSU rRNA". It matches the Rfam family "Bacterial small subunit ribosomal RNA", at positions 945 to 1359 of the family's 1533-position model. The record is from RNAcentral.
UUUAAUUCGAAGCAACGCGAAGAACCUUACCAGGUCUUGACAUCCCGCUGCCCGCCUAGGAGAUUAGGCUUUCCCUUCGGGGACAGCGGUGACAGGUGGUGCAUGGUUGUCGUCAGCUCGUGUCGUGAGAUGUUGGGUUAAGUCCCGCAACGAGCGCAACCCUUGAUCUUAGUUGCCAGCAUUCAGUUGGGCACUCUAAGGUGACUGCCGGUGUCAAACCGGAGGAAGGUGGGGAUGACGUCAAAUCAUCAUGCCCCUUAUGACCUGGGCUACACACGUGCUGCAAUGGACGGUACAAAGGGCUGCAAACCCGCGAGGGGGAGCCAAUCCCAGAAAACCGUUCUCAGUUCGGAUUGCAGGCUGCAACUCGCCUGCAUGAAGCCGGAAUCGCUAGUAAUCGUGGAUCAGCAUGCCA